This 418-nucleotide ribosomal RNA is filed under the name Streptomyces sp. BCCS 09. RNAcentral's name for it is "bacterial SSU rRNA". It matches the Rfam family "Bacterial small subunit ribosomal RNA", at positions 658 to 1074 of the family's 1533-position model. The record is from RNAcentral. Lineage: Bacteria; Bacillati; Actinomycetota; Actinomycetes; Kitasatosporales; Streptomycetaceae.
AGAUCGGAAUUCCUGGUGUAGCGGUGAAAUGCGCAGAUAUCAGGAGGAACACCGGUGGCGAAGGCGGAUCUCUGGGCCAUUACUGACGCUGAGGAGCGAAAGCGUGGGGAGCGAACAGGAUUAGAUACCCUGGUAGUCCACGCCGUAAACGUUGGGAACUAGGUGUUGGCGACAUUCCACGUCGUCGGUGCCGCAGCUAACGCAUUAAGUUCCCCGCCUGGGGAGUACGGCCGCAAGGCUAAAACUCAAAGGAAUUGACGGGGGCCCGCACAAGCAGCGGAGCAUGUGGCUUANUUCGACGCANCGCGAAGAACCUUACCAAGGCUNGACAUAUACNGGAAAGCAUCANAGAUGGUGCCCCCCCUUGUGGUCGGUAUACAGGUGGUGCAUGGCUGUCGUCAGCUCGUGUCGNGAGAUG